ACAAUGAUGUUCAAUGCUCAGAAUGUGAUAAUUUCAUGAUCUUACCUCUUUUGCUGA
RNAcentral lists this small nucleolar RNA (57 nucleotides) under Euglena gracilis. Its description in RNAcentral is "Eg-m135.1 box C/D methylation-guide". The record is from RNAcentral. Lineage: Eukaryota; Euglenozoa; Euglenophyceae; Euglenales; Euglenaceae.